Small nuclear RNA from Cervus hanglu yarkandensis (Yarkand deer), 131 nucleotides. The record is from Ensembl. Lineage: Eukaryota; Metazoa; Chordata; Mammalia; Artiodactyla; Cervidae.
AAAAAGGGCUUCUGUCGUGAGUGGCACACGUGGGGCGGCUCGUUUCCUCUACGUGAGGAAUCGACAUCAAAAUAAGCAAAAUAUAUAUGUAAUAAGUGUAUAUGUAUAUGUUAAGUAUAUUAUAUUAUGUA